RNAcentral lists this ribosomal RNA (446 nucleotides) under soil bacterium 07G-09. RNAcentral describes it as "bacterial SSU rRNA". It matches the Rfam family "Bacterial small subunit ribosomal RNA", at positions 48 to 483 of the family's 1533-position model. The record is from RNAcentral.
CUAACACAUGCAAGUCGAACGGCAGCACAGGAGAGCUUGCUCUCUGGGUGGCGAGUGGCGGACGGGUGAGGAAUGCGUCGGAAUCUGCCUAUUUGUGGGGGAUAACGUAGGGAAACUUACGCUAAUACCGCAUACGACCUACGGGUGAAAGUGGGGGACCGCAAGGCCUCACGCAGAUAGAUGAGCCGACGCCGGAUUAGCUAGUUGGCGGGGUAAAGGCCCACCAAGGCGACGAUCCGUAGCUGGUCUGAGAGGAUGAUCAGCCACACUGGAACUGAGACACGGUCCAGACUCCUACGGGAGGCAGCAGUGGGGAAUAUUGGACAAUGGGCGCAAGCCUGAUCCAGCCAUGCCGCGUGUGUGAAGAAGGCCUUCGGGUUGUAAAGCACUUUUGUCCGGAAAGAAAACCUUUCGAUUAAUACUCGGAGGGAAUGACGGUACCGAAG